Zingiber officinale is the source of this 2981-nucleotide long non-coding RNA. RefSeq lists it as uncharacterized. NCBI's taxonomy places the organism in Eukaryota, Viridiplantae, Streptophyta, Magnoliopsida, Zingiberales, Zingiberaceae. The record is from RefSeq and is a predicted model, not a curated record. The transcript has 4 exons.
GCAGGAAGGGGUGGGUGGUGCCUCCGCUUGUUCUCCCUCCACAACGAUGUGCUCUCCUACUCCAAGAUCGUCCGUCAAGUCCUACCCACCAUACCCUCAGGAAGCCGAGUUUGCCUCAUUGGAAAUUCCAGUUCCAUAUUCUCCUCCUCCUAUUCUCGUGGCGAAUGUGGCUGCCAGCAGUCCCGGAUGCCUAUAUGACUAGUCCAACUCGAGAGGUCGAGAAGUUCUACUAGCAGUGCAAUCCAGGUAUUGAAUGCUGCCCAGAUUAGUCUCUAGCAGUACCAGUUAAUGAUAGAUCAUAUUAUGCCAUUAGGCCGGUCUCACAUUGUAUCACAAUAAGGUGGUAAAUUGGAAGCAUAAACUCAAGCAUCAGGUUGCAAAUAAGCAUUUUCUCCUUCCAUAUGAGUCUUAAGCAAAUAUUUUUUCAUUAAAAUCUAGUGUGAACUUAAUUCCCACCCGUCAAAAUUGUAGAUAAAACAGAUGGAUGAAAAACAAUAUGCAACACUGUACCUCCAGUUGGCUCAUGUUAGUUUUGAUUCUCUUAUAUCAAAAUACAUUGAGAAGUUUGCUAGCCUUUUGCUCAUUUCAAACGUUGCAACGUUUUUUAGAAUUGAGUAACUAUGAUAUCCCUUGUUUGCUAAUACUUUACUAAUUGGUAAAAUCAUUUUGUGACUUUUUAAAAGCAAGCUAGCUUGGCUUCAUUGAUUCUAUUUUGAGUGAGUUGAACUGUGGAACCAUAUUGGUAGUAUAAGUAUUUGUUUGAUCUUUUGUAUGCUGUUGCACAAUUGAUUCUAAAUGAUGACACAUAAUCUAUCACUUGUAAGGUAUUUGAUCUUUAUAUAAUUUGCAUACAAUAUGAGAGCGCAGUUUUAGCCAGCUCUAUAGUCAUAUAACGUUAUCAAGCUAAAUUUAGCUUAUACCUAAAAUUUUCAUACUGAACAUACUUAUUAAGAUUUAUUCUCAGUGAUUGGUCACUAAUAUUUUUUCAUGCAUAUGGAAACUAGGUUAUAUAACUUCAACUAUGAAUUUAAACUCUCUCAAAAAUUGUAUUUGUCUCCAUUACACAUCCUUCUAAUAGCUAGAUAAGCCUACCCUUUGUUAUCAUUGUUGAUGAAAAUGCAUAUUAUAAACCUUCAUGUUGGGCAUGAUAUGAAUCAUAUCAGGCCCAAAGAUUGAUUAUUAUCUAUUGUCACUGUUUUUGUUGUAUGUGCAUCUAUUUGUGCAAUCACAAGGCUAGUGGGAUUUGAUGCAACCUUAUCAAUUUUGGUCUAAACAUCACGAAAUUACUGUUGGACACAACAACAUAUUACUUUGUCAUGACUGUAGAGUUAGUUGGUUUUGUAGUUUAUAGUUAUACAAAAGAAAGGAUUUAGUUGAUUCUCAAUAAAGGUUGAUUCUUUGCCCUCCAAAGAUAAUGAUCAAUAAAUAUUACAAAGGUUGCAUAGAAAUGAGGCAUUCUAAUACAGGCUAAAUUGCUUAGUUCUCUAUCAACUUAUGAUUUCAGGGACUCAGUCAAUCCUUUUGUGGAGCAAGCUGUGCAAUAUGUUAUACCUACAUCUAAGGUAAUAACUCUUUGAAAUAGAAAAUGAUAAAUUACAAAAACUACUUCUACAAGGUCUUGAUAUUACAAUCUUAGGAAGCAAUGAUUUCUAUUCUUACAUAAAAGGUGACUCUCAUCUUUCUUUUUUGGAGAAAUUAUUUUCUCCUGGAUUGUUUGCCCUUAGCACCUGGUGGAUCAGUUUUUUAUAGCUUACUUUAUUUUUUUCACACUUUUUUAUAUUAUCAUACUUGCAUUUAUUUUUUUUAAUUAAUCAAUUUAUAUUCACAUCUUUGAUUUAUCUUCUAUUGUAUUUUGAUCAUAAAUGUCAGUUUACAUAGUUAAAGUUAUAUAUGGAUAAAUUAUUUGCAAAUAUUAUCUUUAGAUUGAAUCGCAUGGCUUACCUUUGACUCGAGAUGCAUUGGCUUCACUUCCUUCUUUUUCUUCAAUAACAUUUAACCGAGUGGCUUCUAAUGGAACACUUCCUAGAGUGGAAUGCAAACCUGAGGUUGCAAAAACAAGACUUGGCUCAUUAGCGGCAAUGACCACAUCAGUCGUUGCAGCACUCCUUCAUUACCUUAGAGUUGUUAUUCUUCCAUUUUCAAGCAGAAGCCAGUUAGACGACAAAAUCUUUGAUUCAGAUCUUGAUUUAGUACACAUUGUUGCCCACAGUGCUCAUUGUUUAGCUCAAGGAAAAAUUGGCAGUGGCUUUGAUGUCAGUGCUACUGUCUAUGGCAAUCACAUUACAUCAGAUUUUUGCCUGCUCUUUUGAUGCCUACCCAGGUUUCUUCUCCUCAUUUACCAUUAUGUGUAUAGUCACAAAUAUUAAUUUUCUAAUUUUAUAUGAUUUUUCAUCAAUUUUUACCUUUGCAAUUUAAACCAUGUAUUCUACUAGUGCAAAUGCCUUUUUCAAUAUGUCAGUUUUGUUAUAAUAAUUCCAAGAUUUGAUUUGGCACUGAACUUGUUUUUUCCAUCAAUGCACUUGCAUUGAAUGUUGACUUUGAUUUUAGGAUUACUUUUACUCUACUAAAGGUGCAUUUUAAGGGGAAGAGUUAGGGGAAGCCUUCCAGUCAUUCCACAUUGGCCAAAAGCUAGGGGAAGAGCUCGAUGUCAAAUUCGAUAGGGGAGGGAAUCAUCUUGCUGCACUAACCACUUCAAGGUAUGGGAUCAGCAAGAUGGAGUUGCUAAAAGCUUGCAUUUCAAGGGAAUGGCUGCUGAUAAAGCACAACUCAUUUGUAUAUAUCUUCAAAGUAGUCUAGGUGAGUGAAAGCAAACAAUUCAACUAAUUCGAUAUCUUGAUAUAACAGUUGAUACUUUUGUAGCUUAUAAUUCUCAGAGCCAUUGCAAUGAGUCUUCCUUAGGGCAAAGAUACAUCAUGAUUAAGUGGAGGAUGAGUCACCAUGUUUCUUAGAUUGGUGACUCAUCUGUUAAUGGCUUUGCUGAA